RNAcentral lists this ribosomal RNA (245 nucleotides) under uncultured Terrimonas sp. RNAcentral describes it as "partial 16S ribosomal RNA". It matches the Rfam family "Bacterial small subunit ribosomal RNA", at positions 524 to 768 of the family's 1533-position model. Lineage: Bacteria; Pseudomonadati; Bacteroidota; Chitinophagia; Chitinophagales; Chitinophagaceae. The record is from RNAcentral.
UACGGAGGGUGCAAGCGUUAUCCGGAUUCACUGGGUUUAAAGGGUGCGUAGGUGGGUUGGUAAGUCAGUGGUGAGAUCCCCGAGCUUAACUUGGGAACUGCCAUUGAUACUAUUAAUCUUGAAUACUGUGGAGGUUAGCGGAAUAUGUCAUGUAGCGGUGAAAUGCUUAGAUAUGACAUAGAACACCAAUUGCGAAGGCAGCUAGCUACACAAAUAUUGACGCUGAGGCACGAAGGCGUGGGGAU